This 492-nucleotide ribosomal RNA is filed under the name uncultured bacterium. RNAcentral describes it as "partial 16S ribosomal RNA". It matches the Rfam family "Bacterial small subunit ribosomal RNA", at positions 29 to 507 of the family's 1533-position model. The record is from RNAcentral.
AGUGAACGCUGGCGGUAGGCCUAACACAUGCAAGUCGAACGGCAGCACAGUAAGAGCUUGCUCUUACGGGUGGCGAGUGGCGGACGGGUGAGGAAUACAUCGGAAUCUACUUUUUCGUGGGGGAUAACGUAGGGAAACUUACGCUAAUACCGCAUACGACCUACGGGUGAAAGCAGGGGAUCUUCGGACCUUGCGCGAUUGAAUGAGCCGAUGUCGGAUUAGCUAGUUGGCGGGGUAAAGGCCCACCAAGGCGACGAUCCGUAGCUGGUCUGAGAGGAUGAUAAGCCACACUGGAACUGAGACACGGUCCAGACUCCUACGGCAGGCAGCAGUGGGGAAUAUUGGACAAUGGGCGCAAGCCUGAUCCAGCCAUACCGCGUGGGUGAAGAAGGCCUUCGGGUUGUAAAGCCCUUUUGUUGGGAAAGAAAAGCAGCAGGUUAAUACCCCGCUGUUCUGACGGUACCCAAAGAAUAAGCACCGGCUAACUUCGUG